Molecule: ribosomal RNA, 453 nt
Filed under: uncultured bacterium
Lineage: Bacteria
Description: bacterial SSU rRNA
Rfam family: Bacterial small subunit ribosomal RNA
Source: RNAcentral
AAUCAACGCUGGCGGCGUGCCUCAGACAUGCAAGUCGAACGCGAAAGGUUCCUUCGGGAACCGAGUAGAGUGGCGUCCGGGUGAGUAACACGUGGGUAAUCUACCUUCGGGUGGGGAAUAACGACCGGAAACGGUCGCUAAUACCGCAUAAUGCAGCGGCACCUAAUGGUGACAGUUGUUAAAGCGGGGGAUCGCAAGACCUCGCGCCUGAAGAGGAGCCCGCGGCGGAUUAGCUAGUUGGCAGGGUAACGGCCUACCAAGGCGACGAUCCGUAGCCGGCCUGAGAGGGCGGUCGGCCACACUGGCACUGACACACGGGCCAGACUCCUACGGGAGGCAGCAGUCGGGAAUUUUGGGCAAUGGGGGAAACCCUGACCCAGCAACGCCGCGUGAAGGAUGAAGUAUUUCGGUAUGUAAACUUCGAAAGAAUAGGAAGAAUUAAUGACGGUACUA